ACCCGCUGAAUUUAAGCAUAUAAGUAGGUGGCGCACAAGAAACAUACAAGGACUCCCACAGUAGUGGCGAAUGCACAGGGGCAAACUCAGUAUGAAAAUUGGGAUGUUUGGUCCUGAGUUGUAGUCUUGCAAUGCGCUACCAGAGGAGAUGCAGCUACAGGCUCUUGGAAAGGAGAGUCCGUGAGGGUGAAAACCCUGUGUGCUGGCUGCAGCACUCCGGCAAUCGGUGUGCUGUUUUCGAGUCGUGUACCUUGGCACUGGUGCAUGAAGCGGUGGUAAUUUUUAUCCAAAGAUGAAGAAGUGUUUGAGACCAAUAGAAAACAAGUACCUUAAGGGAAAGGUGAAACAGAACUUUGUAAAGAGAGAUAACUAUGCUUGAACCUGCUGAAUUUGACGUGAAUGGUGACAGUGUCAUGUGGUAGGAUUUCUGUGCGUUGCCGCGUUUGUCUGCUGUUUGUGUAUUUGUGUAGCAGCAGGACUUGAGCAGGAUGCACAUAGUGCAUCUGGCCCCACCAAUCAAUCUCAGCAUGCUGCUUAGGCAUAGCGGCAGGGAUCUGGUUGACCAUCCCUUGGUGGAAGAAGUCCUCCGUGCUGCUAGCGCAGGUGCACCUUGGUGACUACACAGAUCCAUUUGGCCCGUCUUGAAACACGGAUCAAGGAGUCUAAUAUACAUGCAAGUAUANGGGUGGCAAGCCUGUGUGCUCAGUGAAAGUACUGGCUGGGAUUGUUGCACCAGCAACCAAUCAUUUGCCAAAGAAAUGCCCGAGUAUGAGCAUGCCUAUUAGGACCCGAAAGAUGGUGAACUAUGUCUGUGAAUGGCAAACCCAGGGGAAACUCUGAUGGAGGCCUGUAGCGAUACUAACGUGCAAAUUGUUCGUCAUACAUGGGCAUAGGGGUGAAAGACUAAUCGAACCAUCUAGUAGCUGGUUCCCUCCGA
RNAcentral lists this ribosomal RNA (937 nucleotides) under Protoperidinium punctulatum. Its description in RNAcentral is "LSU rRNA". It matches the Rfam family "Eukaryotic large subunit ribosomal RNA", at positions 23 to 964 of the family's 3401-position model. Lineage: Eukaryota; Dinophyceae; Peridiniales; Protoperidiniaceae. The record is from RNAcentral.